This 60-nucleotide transfer RNA is filed under the name Dipodomys ordii (Ord's kangaroo rat). It matches the Rfam family "tRNA", at positions 7 to 64 of the family's 71-position model. Rfam says of the family: Transfer RNA (tRNA) molecules are approximately 80 nucleotides in length. Their secondary structure includes four short double-helical elements and three loops (D, anti-codon, and T loops). Lineage: Eukaryota; Metazoa; Chordata; Mammalia; Rodentia; Heteromyidae. The record is from Rfam by way of RNAcentral.
GUGGCUCAAUGGUAGAGUGCUUGCCUUGCAUGCAUGAGACCCUGGGUUCGAUUCCUCAGC